GUGCUUGUUUUGAAAGCAUACAUACUAGAAUUGGAAUCAUGCAGAGAUUAGCAUGACCCCUGCCAAGGAUGGCACACAGAUUUGUGAAGCCUUCCCUACUUUU
This is a small nuclear RNA of Hyaena hyaena (striped hyena), 103 nucleotides long. NCBI's taxonomy places the organism in Eukaryota, Metazoa, Chordata, Mammalia, Carnivora, Hyaenidae. The record is from RefSeq and is a predicted model, not a curated record.